CCUACGGGAGGCAGCAGUAGGGAAUCUUCCACAAUGGGCGCAAGCCUGAUGGAGCAACACCGCGUGAGUGAAGAAGGGUUUCGGCUCGUAAAGCUCUGUUGUUGGAGAAGAACGUGCGUGAGAGUAACUGUUCACGCAGUGACGGUAUCCAACCAGAAAGUCACGGCUAACUACGUGCCAGCAGCCGCGGUAAUACGUAGGUGGCAAGCGUUAUCCGGAUUUAUUGGGCGUAAAGCGAGCGCAGGCGGUUGCUUAGGUCUGAUGUGAAAGCCGUGGGCUUAACCGAAGAAGUGCAGCGGAAACCGGGCAACUUGAGUGCAGAAGAGGACAGUGGAAUUCCAUGUGUAGCGGUGGAAUGCGUAGAUAUAUGGAAGAACACCAGUGGCGAAGGCGGCUGUCUGGUCUGCAACUGACGCUGAGGCUCGAAAGCAUGGGUAGCGAACAGGAUUAGAUACCCCUGUAGUC
Molecule: ribosomal RNA, 465 nt
Filed under: uncultured bacterium
Lineage: Bacteria
Description: partial 16S ribosomal RNA
Rfam family: Bacterial small subunit ribosomal RNA
Source: RNAcentral